This 23-nucleotide microRNA is filed under the name Eisenia fetida (common brandling worm). Its description in RNAcentral is "Efe-Novel-2_3p (mature (guide))". Lineage: Eukaryota; Metazoa; Annelida; Clitellata; Crassiclitellata; Lumbricidae. The record is from RNAcentral.
UGUGACGAGUUCCGACGACCUUG